GACGAACGCUGGCGGCGUGCUUAACACAUGCAAGUCGAACGGUGAAGCGCCUUCCUUUUUGGUGGGUGUGGAUGAGUGGCGAACGGGUGAGUAACACGUGAGUAACCUGCCCCCUUCUUCUGGAUAACCGCAUGAAAGUGUGGCUAAUACGGGAUAUUCUGGGUCUGUCGCAUGAUGGGUCUGGGAAAGAUAUUGUUUCGGUGGGGGAUGGGCUCGCGGCCUAUCAGCUUGUUGGUGGGGUGAUGGCCUACCAAGGCGGUGACGGGUAGCCGGCCUGAGAGGGUGGACGGUCAAAGUGGGACGGAGACACGGCCCAGACUCCUACGGGGGGCAGCGGGGGGGAAUAUUGCACAAGGGGGGAAAGCCGGAUGCGGCGACGCCGGGGGAGGGAGGGAGGCCGUCGGGUGGGGAACCUUUUUCGCCAGGGAAGCAGGCCUGCCUCGGUGGGGGGGGGGUUGACGGUAGUGGGAAAAGAAGCCCCAGCUAACUACGU
This 493-nucleotide ribosomal RNA is filed under the name uncultured bacterium. RNAcentral describes it as "partial 16S ribosomal RNA". It matches the Rfam family "Bacterial small subunit ribosomal RNA", at positions 28 to 506 of the family's 1533-position model. The record is from RNAcentral.